RNAcentral lists this long non-coding RNA (219 nucleotides) under Gossypium barbadense (sea-island cotton). RNAcentral's name for it is "long non-coding RNA (GBAR_LNC020412)". Lineage: Eukaryota; Viridiplantae; Streptophyta; Magnoliopsida; Malvales; Malvaceae. The record is from RNAcentral.
GUCAAUCCGCUCAUUGGGUGAUUCAGCAGAACAAGUGAGUCAUAUUUCGAAUAGUGAAUUCAAGCACCGAAGAUGUCUAUCGUUUCUCAAGAUUUUUACAUCGGGUGUUCUUCGUGUGACUCUUUCUUCAACAAGAAUAGGAUCUGUAAUCUCGAUUAUUUGUUCAGGCAGUGCUGCCUUAACAAAGUUGUGGAGACUUAAACCAUCUCUGAAUCUUUC